CUUGUGGGGCCCGGCUGCUGUGGAGCACCACAAGACCAGGAAAUGCCUUGGAGCUUCCCUGUGGAAGCAGGCGAGCUCAGACGACCUGUUGGCUCUGCUGAAACCUGAGAGGAUGCUUCAGACUAUUACACACUUCCCCCAACAACGCAGAAUCAUCCUGCAGGAUGACAAGCAGCGGCUGUUUUCUAACAAUGCAGCUAAGGACCUGGAGAACGUAUAUGAUCCCUGUUUUCUCUUGCCCCUGUUUAGUGCCAUCCUACGUCCCGAGUGUGUGAUUGACUGCCUCAAGUUUGUAU
Long non-coding RNA from Notolabrus celidotus (New Zealand spotty), 296 nucleotides. RefSeq lists it as uncharacterized. The transcript is spliced from 3 exons. Lineage: Eukaryota; Metazoa; Chordata; Actinopteri; Labriformes; Labridae. The record is from RefSeq and is a predicted model, not a curated record.